GAGGGGCAAGAACAGCCAUACAGGAGAAA
RNAcentral lists this non-coding RNA (29 nucleotides) under Homo sapiens (human). Lineage: Eukaryota; Metazoa; Chordata; Mammalia; Primates; Hominidae. The record is from RNAcentral.